GGCCUCAUAGCUUAGUUGGUUAGAGCGACGGUGCGUGAUCUAAUCCGGUGGUCGUGGGUUCAAAUCCCACCGGGGUCA
This 78-nucleotide transfer RNA is filed under the name Desmophyllum pertusum. RNAcentral describes it as "Lophelia pertusa tRNA". It matches the Rfam family "tRNA". From Rfam's summary of the family: Transfer RNA (tRNA) molecules are approximately 80 nucleotides in length. Their secondary structure includes four short double-helical elements and three loops (D, anti-codon, and T loops). The record is from Rfam by way of RNAcentral. Lineage: Eukaryota; Metazoa; Cnidaria; Anthozoa; Scleractinia; Caryophylliidae.